RNAcentral lists this ribosomal RNA (412 nucleotides) under uncultured beta proteobacterium. RNAcentral's name for it is "bacterial SSU rRNA". It matches the Rfam family "Bacterial small subunit ribosomal RNA", at positions 1085 to 1498 of the family's 1533-position model. Lineage: Bacteria; Pseudomonadati; Pseudomonadota; Betaproteobacteria. The record is from RNAcentral.
UCCCGCAACGAGCGCAACCCUUGUCAUUAGUUGCUACAUUCAGUUGGGCACUCUAAUGAGACUGCCGGUGACAAACCGGAGGAAGGUGGGGAUGACGUCAAGUCCUCAUGGCCCUUAUAGGUGGGGCUACACACGUCAUACAAUGGCUGGUACAAAGGGUUGCCAACCCGCGAGGGGGAGCUAAUCCCAUAAAACCAGUCGUAGUCCGGAUCGCAGUCUGCAACUCGACUGCGUGAAGUCGGAAUCGCUAGUAAUCGUGGAUCAGAAUGUCACGGUGAAUACGUUCCCGGGUCUUGUACACACCGCCCGUCACACCAUGGGAGCGGGUCUCGCCAGAAGUAGUUAGCCUAACCGCAAGGAGGGCGAUUACCACGGCGGGGUUCGUGACAAUCGAUUCCCGCGCCGCCAUGCG